AACGAACGCUGGCGGCAGGCUUAACACAUGCAAGUCGAACGCAUCCUUCGGGGUGAGUGGCAGACGGGUGAGUAACGCGUGGGAACGUGCCCUGCAGUUCGGAAUAACCCAGGGAAACUUGGGCUAAUACCGGAUACGUGCGAGAGCAGAAAGAUUUAUCGCUGAAGGAUCGGCCCGCGUCUGAGUAGCUAGUUGGUGGGGUAAUGGCCCACCAAGGCGACGAGCAGGAGCUGGUCUGAGAGGAUGAGCAGCCACAUUGGAACUGAGACACGGCCCAAACUCCUACGGGAGGCAGCAGUGGGGAAUAUUGGACAAUGGGCGCAAGCCUGAUCCAGCCAUGCCGCGUGAGUGAUGACGGCCUUAGGGUUGUAAAGCUCUUUCGUCCGGGACGAUAAUGACGGUACCGGAAGAAGAAGCCCCGGCUAACUUCGUGCCAGCCGCCGCCGUAA
Molecule: ribosomal RNA, 449 nt
Filed under: uncultured bacterium
Lineage: Bacteria
Description: partial 16S ribosomal RNA
Rfam family: Bacterial small subunit ribosomal RNA
Source: RNAcentral